CUCCGGUUGAUCCUGCCGGACCCGACUGCUAUCAGAGUGGGACUAAGCCAUGCGAGUCAACAUAGCAAUAUGUGGCAUACGGCUCAGUAACACGUAGUCAACAUGCCCAGGGGACGUGGAUAACCUCGGGAAACUGAGGAUAAACCGCGAUAGGUCAUCACUUCUGGAAUGGGUAAUGACUUAAAUCUAUAUGGCCCCUGGAUUGGACUGCGGCCGAUCAGGCUGUUGGUGAGGUAAUGGCCCACCAAACCUGUAACCGGUACGGGCUCUGAGAGGAGGAGCCCGGAGAUGGGCACUGAGACAAGGGCCCAGGCCCUAUGGGGCGCAGCAGGCGCGAAACCUCUGCAAUAGGCGAAAGCUUGACAGGGUUACUCUGAGUGAUUUCCGUUAAGGAGAUCUUUUGGCACCUCUAAAAAUGGUGCAGAAUAGGGGGUGGGCAAGUCUGGUGUCAGCCGCCGCGGUAAUACCAGCACCCCGAGUGGUCGGGACGUUUAUUGGGCCUAAAGCAUCCGUAGCCGGUUCUACAAGUCUUCCGUUAAAUCCACCUGCUUAACAGAUGGGCUGCGGAAGAUACUAUAGAGCUAGGAGGCGGGAGAGGCAAGCGGUACUCGAUGGGUAGGGGUAAAAUCCGUUGAUCCAUUGAAGACCACCAGUGGCGAAGGCGGCUUGCCAGAACGCGCUCGACGGUGAGGGAUGAAAGCUGGGGGAGCAAACCGGAUUAGAUACCCGGGUAGUCCCAGCUGUAAACGAUGCAGACUCGGUGAUGAGUUGGCUUAUUGCUAACUCAGUGCCGCAGGGAAGCCGUUAAGUUUGCCACCUGGGGAGUACGGUCGCAAGACUGAAACUUAAAGGAAUUGGCGGGGGAGCA
Molecule: ribosomal RNA, 868 nt
Filed under: uncultured archaeon
Lineage: Archaea
Description: bacterial SSU rRNA
Rfam family: Archaeal small subunit ribosomal RNA
Source: RNAcentral